AUGAACGCUAGCGAUAGGCUUAACACAUGCAAGUCGAGGGGGCAUCACAUGAGUAGCAAUACGAUGGUGGCGACCGGCGCACGGGUGAGUAACACGUAUGCAACCUACCCAUGACAGAGGGAUAACCCGUCGAAAGGCGGACUAAUACCGCAUAAUAACAGUAUACUGCAUGGUAUAUUGUUCAAAGAUUUAUCGGUCAUGGAUGGGCAUGCGUUCCAUUAGGUAGUUGGCGGGGCAACGGCCCACCAAGCCUACGAUGGAUAGGGGUUCUGAGAGGAAGGUCCCCCACACUGGUACUGAGACACGGACCAGACUCCUACGGGAGGCAGCAGUGAGGAAUAUUGGUCAAUGGGCGAGAGCCUGAACCAGCCAAGUCGCGUGAAGGAAGAAGGAUCUAUGGUUCGUAAACUUCUUUUGCAGGGGAAUAAAGUGCAGGACGUGUCCUGUUUUGUAUGUACCCUGAGAAUAAGGAUCGGCUAACUCCGUG
Molecule: ribosomal RNA, 487 nt
Filed under: uncultured bacterium
Lineage: Bacteria
Description: bacterial SSU rRNA
Rfam family: Bacterial small subunit ribosomal RNA
Source: RNAcentral